This 253-nucleotide ribosomal RNA is filed under the name uncultured bacterium. Its description in RNAcentral is "partial 16S ribosomal RNA". It matches the Rfam family "Bacterial small subunit ribosomal RNA", at positions 524 to 776 of the family's 1533-position model. The record is from RNAcentral.
UACGUAGGAGGCGAGCGUUGUCCGGAAUCAUUGGGCGUAAAGCGCGUGUAGGCGGUCCGGUAAGUCCGCUGUGAAAGUCGGGGGCUCAACCCUCGGAUGCCGGUGGAUACUGUCGGGCUUGAGUACGGAAGAGGCGAGUGGAAUUCCUGGUGUAGCGGUGAAAUGCGCAGAUAUCAGGAGGAACACCAAUUGCGAAGGCAGCUCGCUGGGACGUUACUGACGCUGAGACGCGAAAGCGUGGGGAGCAAACAGG